This 3940-nucleotide long non-coding RNA is filed under the name Equus caballus (horse). RNAcentral describes it as "lncRNA (ENSECAG00000046689.1)". The record is from RNAcentral. Lineage: Eukaryota; Metazoa; Chordata; Mammalia; Perissodactyla; Equidae.
CUUGAGCCCCGGAGGCCCUGGUGGCCUUCAGGCCCCUGUUCUGCGGCCCCCUUGAGUUCGGCCCCGCCGGCGCGGCCCCGGGGCAGGCCGGGAGCGUCCCCGCGCGGUGCACCCCGGGAGGCGCCACGGCGGGUGGGCGCAGGGCCCCGGAAAUGUGCUCUCGUCUGAAAGCUGGGGGAGGGGGGGCCCUGCGUGAAACCCCCACCUCAUCACUAGUCCACACUCGGGGAGAAGGCGGGGAGGAGGGUGGCCCGAACGCCUACCCCAGGCCCGGCUCUGAGGCAGGCUCGUCGCCCUGUAGGGUCCCACCGGCGCGCUCCUCGCGCCCUUUUCCGUGGGCGACCCGAGGGCGGAGGCUUGGGUCUCAAAUGCGGAACCUCCGUCUCCUGGAAUCAGAUCUGGCUUCCAGAGGAUGUUAAGACUUUUCCUUUCUGAGAAAGUCAGCGCCUGGAGGAGACCCAAGGCCCGGGCCCUUCUUCCCCUCAGCCGUAUCUGUCCGUCCGUAGAAAAGUGCAGUCUCAUGGGGGAACGUAUAGAAGGUGACACAUGGAGAUACUAAUGAUGGUGCCGACUGCAGUGUCAAACUGAAUGAGAAAAAAGCAGGAAAAAGGUUCGUUCAUUUCAAAUUCACAUCUGCCUUGUCUGGGUUGCAGUUUCAGGGAAAAUGUGGAAGCGGUGGCCAUUAAUUCCUUGAGGCCAGAGAACAUUACCUGACAGAUUGCUGCUCAGAUAUCUCUCCUUUCAUCCAUGUUGAUGUAUUUGAAGAAAAAAAUCCCUUGAGUCUGGUCACCUGAGCUUUCUACACUGCUGGAAUAUUCCUUUGAAUAGCAGGGCAGGAAAUCUUCCUAUAAAGUAUUACAAUCUUUCCUUCAGAACUGCUAUGAAGAAUCUUUAGGGGUGCUUUGUUAAUUAAUCUGACCAGUUUCAGAGGGAAAUCACAGACAUUCUGGGCACAUGGCUCAAAUACCAUAAUUAAAUUCUUUUUCAGAUUUAAAUGUAAAGAUGGAGGUAGUGAUGACUGCUGUUAAGAAAAAUGAGGCAAGUAGCUUGGAAAAGGCAGUUCUUCAUUUCCAACUGUAUUCCAAGGAGCUUUGCGAAACUUACAGGGCCAAGGGAAUUCCUUAAUUGGAAGAAACUAUUGGGGGGAUUGAACAGGAAAAUAUAUUUAGAAUUUUGAGUUGUAAAGAGACUAUCUCAUGCUCCAGUUCUACUCAACCCAGUUUCAGCUGGGCACCAUAUGAAGCACGUCCUUCUCAUUAUAAGGGUAACUUACCUAGACAGCUGGUUCAGUUUAUCUUAUAAAAACAUCUUCAUGAAGCAAACAUUUUGAAAUUGUGCUAUAUUAUCACUGACCUAAUCCCAGUGUUUUUCAAACUUCUUGUAGCAGUAGAAUCCCUUCUUAUGAAUAAAAUGUUACACGGGGUCUCAAAACACGAAAUAAAUAAAGGCAAACUGCUUUGAUUGAAGCUAAGCUAGGAGUGGGGGCCCAACUCACCCUCCUCAUCAGCAGUUUCCCUUCCCCACCUCAAGUGGUCCCUAAGGCACAGCAAUGGCACUUUAGGAUUCUGUGGGGUCUAGUUUGAAAAUCACUGGCCUAAACUAUUUGGUCAUUAAGAGCAUCAAUAAAUAUAUCUUUCAAUAGUAUUUAUCAGUUGUAUACUGUAUUCCAGGCACUGUGCUGAGUGGUGAUAGGGAGACUAUGGUGAAUAAGUCAGGGCCAGCCUCAAAUUAUGUAGACUUUAAUCAUAGAGAAAUUUAUGGUAUCAAAUGACUGUAAGUCCAGAACUAGAGUGGCUAUGGAAGGCAGUAUAAUGGCUGCCCAAAGGUGUCCAAGUCCUCCUUCCUGAAACAUGUGACUAUGUUACAUUACAUGACAAAGGGGAAUUAAAGUUGCUAAUCAGCUGACCUUAAAAUAGGGAGAUUAUCCUGGGUUAUCUGGAUGAGUCCAAUGUAAUCACAAGAGUCUUUAACUGUAGAAGAGGGAGGCAAAAGAGGGGUCAGAGUCAGAGAAAGAGACAUGAUGAUGGAGCAAAAGUCAGAGUGAAUCAAUGUGAGAAGGACUCAAACUACCAUUGCUGGCUUUGAAGAUGGAAGAAGACCAGAAGCCAAGGAAUCUGGGCAGCCUCUAGGAUCUUGAAAAGAUAAAGAAAUGGAUUUUCCCUACAUUGCUAGAAAGGGAUACAUCCCUGCUGACACCUUGAUUUUUCCUCAGUAAAACCCAUUUUGGACCUCUGUUCUCUAGAACUUUAAGAUAAUAAUUUUUUGUUUGUUUGUUUAAGCUAUCAAAUUUGUAGUAAUUUGUUGUAGCAGCAAUAGAAAAUGAAUAUAGUAGUUGUCAGAGUUUGUUAAUUCAGCAACUCAAAAAGUCAUCAAUGGCAUAAACAUAGACAUAUAGACUAAUAGAAUGAAAUUGAGAUUCCAGAGGUAAGCCCAUAUAUUUAUGGCCAAUCGAUUUUUGACAUGGGUGCAAACUCCAUUCAAUUGAGAAAGAAUAUUCUUGCGACAACUGGAUUUCCACAUGCAAAGGAACGAAAUUGGACCCCUACCUCACACCAUAUACAAAAGUUAGCUUAAGAUGGGUCAACAACCUAAAUAUAAGAGCUAAAGCCAUAAAACUCUUAGAAGAAAACAUAGGGAUAAUCUUCACACUCUUGAAUUUGGCACCAAAAGUAAGAGUAACAAAAAGAAAAAUAAAUUAGACCUCAUCAAAAUUAAAAACUUUUGUACAUCAAAGAACAUUGUCAAGAAAAUGACAACCUACAAAAUAUUUGUAAAUCAUAUCUAUGAUAAAAGUCUAUAUCCAGAAUAUAUAAAGGACUCCUACAACUCAACAACAAAAAGACAAUCUAAUUAAAAUAUGGACAAAGACUUGAAUAGACAUUUCUCUAAAGAAGAGAUAUAAAUAACCAACAAGUACAUGAAAGAUGCUCAGCAUCAUUAGGCAUUAGGGAAAUGCAAACCAAAACUACAGUGAAAUACCACUUCACACCUACUCGGAUGGCUAUAAUAAUUUUUUAAAAUGAAAAUAAUGAAUAUUGGCAAAUAUGUGGACAAAUGGAAACCCUCAUAUGUUGCUGGUGGGAACGUAAAAUGCAGCUGCUGUGGAAAAGUGUUUGACUGUUCCUCAAAAGCUAGGCAUAGAAUUACCAUGAGCCAGCAGUUCCACUCCUAGGUAUAUAAUCAAAAGAAUGGAAAGCAGGGACUCAGAUACUUGUACAUCAAUUUUCCUUGCAUUAUUAUUCACAAAAGCCAAAAGGUGCUAUUGGGGAAGUGGGAGAAUUCCCCCCCUUUCUCUUAAGGUUCUUAUCACUGGUCAAAUAAUUAAAAAAGGAAGGUUAGCAGGAGAAAAUCAAACAAAAUUUAAUAGCAUGUACACAUGGGAGAAACUCAGGAGAAACCGAGUGACUCACCCAUCUGGCCGAGGCUGCUGUUUAAUCAUCUUCAGCUACAGACAAGGAGGACAUUUAGGGUAGUGAUUUAGGGCUUCAAAGGGGAGGAAGGCAAUUCACAUAGAAAUGGAAAAGCAAAUGUUUGGUAAAUAGAACUUUGAUAAGAGUGAGCUUAGCAAGGAUCCUCCCAGUGUACGGAAACCCAGAGGUAUCUAUGGGAUUGCCUGUCCUGGGAAUAGGCCUUUAUUUUAACUUUUUUUUAGGCAGUUAGUGGGGAAAGGUCGAAUGUUCUUCCUGAUUCUGAGCCUUUAUUGUCUUCAGGUCGGAAUAAUCCGCAUACCAGAGUGGCGCAUCUUGGGGCGGUCUGCCCUGAACCCCGUCAGUGCAAAUAAUCCAAGUGUCUAUCGACAGAUGAAUGGAUAAACAAAUGUAUACAUGUACAAUAGAAUAUUAUUCAGUAUAAAAGUAAUGAAGUUCUGAAGUAUUUUUUUCCACUAAACAUUUAUUAAGCUGUAAUUUUCACAAUAUUUUAAUUCUAUUCUGAAAUCUAU